This is a non-coding RNA of Mycena latifolia, 94 nucleotides long. The record is from the annotation of a GenBank genome assembly. Lineage: Eukaryota; Fungi; Basidiomycota; Agaricomycetes; Agaricales; Mycenaceae.
GACCCAGUGGCGGACGGUACGGCGCCCGCACCGUGUGACUUUGUGUUGUCAUCGAUAACUGUGGGUGGCCCUGGUUCGAUUCCGGGCUGGGUCA